AGAGCACAAUACAGAUAUAGACC
RNAcentral lists this non-coding RNA (23 nucleotides) under Arabidopsis thaliana (thale cress). The record is from RNAcentral. Lineage: Eukaryota; Viridiplantae; Streptophyta; Magnoliopsida; Brassicales; Brassicaceae.